Long non-coding RNA from Pseudoliparis swirei, 3524 nucleotides. RefSeq lists it as uncharacterized. The record is from RefSeq and is a predicted model, not a curated record. Lineage: Eukaryota; Metazoa; Chordata; Actinopteri; Perciformes; Liparidae. The transcript is spliced from 2 exons.
AUGUGUAUUUAGAUUUAUUUAUAUAUAUUUAUAUAUUUUAUUUAUAUAUAUAAAAUUUAUAUAUAUUUUAUAUUUAUUUAUAUUAUAUUUAUUUAUUUAUAUAUAUAUCAGGCAUGAGAAUCCCUCACCUUUCGGCGAAAUUCGCCGUUUUGAAACCAAAAUAGGUGACUUACGUGAAUCGUGUAGAUCCGAAGAGUUUUUGUUUGGGGGGGGGGUCAAUUGGCCGGCCGGCGUUUAUGAGAUUGGAGUGGGACACGGAGAAAAUGUGGAGUGGUGCUCUUCGCAAUAAAACAUCUUUGAUGGGACGUGUUGCGUCUCGGCCAAUCAGCGUCAAGAUGUCUUCAGCGUUUGGAGGUUUAGGUUAGCUUGAAUGUUCGCCCGCUAUCUGCUGCUGUCGCGCUGCACGGUGGAGCGAUGCUAACAAAGUACCGUACGUUAAACACGAUGUGAUUUAGCAUAGUUUUAGUCUCAAUACUUCAUUAAAAGAGCGAUCAGAGCCGCGCUGCUCCGUGUCGAGCUGUUUGCACGCGCAGCGCAGCGCUAACAGAGAGGGGCGUUAAGUGGCGGAAUUUUCGGCUUUAAAAAUAAAAAUAAAAAAAGAUGCCAGAAGUGAAAUGUUUAAGUUCAGUCUGUAAAGUUCUGUAACUCUCCAGCUGCUCAUCCUGAUGAACUCUGGAUCCUCUGGUCAGAGACUAACGGCCUCAUAGUGUAUAAUCAAUGCUAUGAUGGCUCCAUGUAGUUUCAUUCAUAUCUUGCUGUAUUAAUACUAAUAUUACUGCCAUUUGUUAAGUUGAAAAAGUUGGUAAAAAGUAAACCAUACAGAUAUUUUAUUUAUUACUAUUAUAGAUAAAUAUACCAGUAUCGUAUUUAUGGUAUACUGUUUUUAUGGUAUUGUAUCAUGAUAUUUAUGGCAGGUAUGGUAUAGAAGACAACCAGGUAGAGGCAGAACAGACUCGAGGAACAGACUCAUGGCUCAGCAGAGCACAAGACUUGAAGACUUGUUCACGCCAACAACAACAAAAGGAAGUUGGUUCAUGAAUGACCAUAUUAUUAGUGCUGUGAAAAAUAACGCGUUAACGCGUUAUGAUUAAAUUACAGGAUUAAUUAGUUUAAUUUUUUUACCGCAUUUAGCGCAUGCGCAAAAUGAGCUUCCAAUCCACCACUUCAACCUGAACUCUGUCCGCUCUCAUGCAGACGGUCUGUUCAUCGGUAAUGAUCUUUCCGCAGGUUCACCUCCGGAAACCUUGUUACGACUUUUACUUCCUGUAGAUCAGGGUCUCAACACGUCGAUCGCGACCUGCCAGUCGAUCGCGGCGUAGUGUCGGUAGAUCGCAUGACAUUAAAGAGAUUGGCCCGCCCCCUGACAUGUUCUCUAGAGCACGUCUUUGUUCUUUUAUUAAACUAAACGUCUGUUGUUGAUCGUAUCUCCACAGCAGCAUGUCAUUUCUGUCUCUUCGCGUUGCGUUAACACUUAUCGAUCUCCGUCUCGCGCCACAGAGCUCCGUGCGCGCGCAUCGGGACCGAGCAAAACAAAAGUCACUUGUCAAUCUGUCCACCUGUCCGGGCCGGUGAGGUUUCAGCUUUGCAGCGGUGUCCCCGCCGUCCCUUUCAUCACGGCCCAGUUCAUGAAGAAAACCCACACAGUCAGUUUGCCUCAGCAGCUGCUAGAGGAAGACUAGAGGCCUUUAGAUUGUAUCAUGGUGGAGUUAAUGGUUGACAAACAAGAGAAACAUGUUCUGUUUAACCCUCCUGUUACCUUUACAUUUACUAACAUAUUUUACCCUCGGGGUCAAUUUGACCCCAGCAAUUAAAACCUCCAGAAAAUUAUUAGAAUUAAUAUUGCUUCCCAAGUUUAAGUGUGAGGUACUUUAUGUUUGUUUGUUGACUACCUAAAUAGCCCUUUAAAUAAAUAAAAAAGUUGAUAUUUCUGAUAUGUUUGACACAGUGAAAAACAGCCUGGGGUCAAAUUGACCCCAAAGAACACCGACAUUAAACAUUGAAUGGGGUCAAAUUGACCCGAAAGGUAACAGGAGGGUUAAACAUUCUGUUUAGGAUGAAGAUGUAUUAAUGUUCCAUAUGGAAGAAAACUGCUAAAUAACUGCUGAGUUGCAGCACCAUUGUAUAGAAGAAUGUAUAAAUGUAUAUAUCCGUCUUUUGUCAUAAAUCUCUGUUCUCACAAAAUAUACCGAGAAUAUCGGUAAUAUGUGAUUAAUCAUGAUUAAUCCACAGAAACCUGUGAUUAACCUGAUUACAAAUUUUCAUCGUUUCACAGCCCUACAUAUUAUACACUAUUACUAUUAUUAUAGUAUUAUAGGCCCGAUCACUGACUUGGUGUCAGAAUGGAGGACCUAUAGAUUAUCAUACAACGUUCAACAUCGAUGUUCGUGGAAGUCACCACCAGCACCCCCCCCCCCCCCUCACCUUUUUCACCCCUGACCCGUUUUCAUGCCUGAUAUAUAUACAGGGUGUCCGCGGGUCCUUAAAAAGUCUUAAAUUGCUUUUCCUAAAAAUAAGGCCUUAAAAAGUCUUAAAUUCAGAUUGGAUUGGUCUUAAAAUUUUUGGGUGUCAUGUCAUUACGAAUAUGAGGCAUUGUGUUCCGCCAGGUCCGUAUUUUGCUCCGGUUACUCUGCGGCGUCUCUGGUGUCACCGGGGCCACGCCCCUUCUCUUAAAGGGGCCCCGCGUAUUCGGUCCCAUCCCCGACAACGUGAAGCAUCGACUACUUUAGAAAACAUGGCAGGAUGCAAGUUCAACAACGGCUUGAAAAGAACGUGUGUUUCUGGUCACGGUCGGUGAAAUGCUUCUGAAGCUGCGUUAUGUGUCGGGAGACUUUCCAGCGGUGGAAUCUCACGAGCAGAGCAAGAAGCACAGAGACUAGCGAAGGCCGCCAGCAGCGCGCGGGGCUAGCUCCUGCUCCGCCGCCCGCAACAACCUCAACGCUACAACGAUGGAGGUCACCGGAGGAAAUCCAGCGCCGUGCAACAAAGAGCUCAUCACCGAAGACCAACGCUGCAGUGCGUUCUUCAUUCUGUUCCACGAGACUCUGGACCAGACCACCGCGAGCAGACAGCUGGACUUCAUGUGCUAUUGGUGAAAUGACCACGUCCAGUCAGGAUCCUCUGGAGCUCAUGGGCCAUGACACCAGGACCUACUUCAGCAUCUCAAAGAGAAUGGACCAAAUGUCAACUGGAAGUUUUUAUAUUAAUAGAUACAGUUUGAAAAGGAUUGUUUUCCUCGUAUAUUCACAAAAGCUCAGGAGUAGACAUGAACCUGUGCACAAACAUCCAUCACAUAGAGACAUAAGAACUCACACACACACACACACACACAUACAUUCUAUUAUGUAAAUGAAUUUGCAUUUUAAAAGCAGCUGGAAUUGUUAUUUAUGUUAUUUUAUAGAUUUUUUUGUUCAAAAGGAACUAUGUUGCCCGUAUUUUUAAAAUAUAUUUACUUGAUGUUAUAAGCAUUUGUUCAUGGGACUUAAAUGUUCUGAACAUGUAUUAAUAAAUAUAAUUUACAACAGCAA